CGCCUGCGUGAAGUUGGAAUUGCUAGUAAUCGCGGAUCAGCAUGCCGCGGUGAAUACGUUCCCGGGCCUUGUACACACCGCCCGUCACACCAUGGAAGUCGGUAAUGCCCGAAGUCAGUAGCCUAACCGCAAGGAGGGCGCUGCCGAAGGCAGGAUUGAUGACUGGGGUGAAGUCGUAACAAGGUAUC
Molecule: ribosomal RNA, 188 nt
Filed under: uncultured bacterium
Lineage: Bacteria
Description: partial 16S ribosomal RNA
Rfam family: Bacterial small subunit ribosomal RNA
Source: RNAcentral